RNAcentral lists this ribosomal RNA (496 nucleotides) under uncultured bacterium. Its description in RNAcentral is "partial 16S ribosomal RNA". It matches the Rfam family "Bacterial small subunit ribosomal RNA", at positions 29 to 507 of the family's 1533-position model. The record is from RNAcentral.
AUGAACGCUGGCGGCGUGCCUAAUACAUGCAAGUCGAGCGAACAGACGAGGAGCUUGCUCCUCUGACGUUAGCGGCGGACGGGUGAGUAACACGUGGAUAACCUACCUAUAAGACUGGGAUAACUUCGGGAAACCGGAGCUAAUACCGGAUAAUAUAUUGAACCGCAUGGUUCAAUAGUGAAAGACGGUUUUGCUGUCACUUAUAGAUGGAUCCGCGCCGCAUUAGCUAGUUGGUAAGGUAACGGCUUACCAAGGCAACGAUGCGUAGCCGACCUGAGAGGGUGAUCGGCCACACUGGAACUGAGACACGGUCCAGACUCCUACGGGAGGCAGCAGUAUGGAAUCUUCCGCAAUGGACGAAAGCCUAACGGAGCAACGCCGCGUGAGUGAUGAAGGUCUUCGGAUCGUAAAACUCUGUUAUUAGGGAAGAACAAAUGUGUAAGUAACUAUGCACGUCUUGACGGUACCUAAUCAGAAAGCCACGGCUAACUACGUG